This 496-nucleotide long non-coding RNA is filed under the name Rattus norvegicus (Norway rat). RNAcentral describes it as "long non-coding RNA NONRATT020758". The record is from RNAcentral. Lineage: Eukaryota; Metazoa; Chordata; Mammalia; Rodentia; Muridae.
UAAAGGUUGCACAAAGCUUAAAAGGAACAGAAGCAGCAGUUCUAUUCACUUGUUAUUGGACUUGAAACUCCUUUGACCUCGGAAGCUGAAGAUGAGGUUGCCAUGGGAACUGCUAGUGCUGCAAUCAUUCAUGUUGUGCCUUGCAGAUGACUACACACUACAUGGCCCAGUUUUUGUUCAAGAGCCAAGUCAUGUCAUGUUUCCUUUGGAUUCUGAGGAGAAAAAAGUGAAACUGAGUUGCGAAGUUAAAGGGAAUCCAAAGCCUCACAUCAGGUUUGUCCACUUAAGCAUGUGUUUCCAGCCUGGAAGGGCAGCAUAUAUCUGUGAUCAUAGCCUUUGUGAAGUAGAGGGAGGUCAUUCUGGGUAAACUCCAGGCCAGCAUGAUCUACAUAGUCAAGUUCCAGAACGCCCAGGGCUAAAUAGUGAGACCCCAGUUCCAAAACAACAGCAACAACAACAACAACAACACAUGCACAGACACACCAAAAAGAAAAAG